RNAcentral lists this ribosomal RNA (253 nucleotides) under uncultured bacterium. RNAcentral's name for it is "partial 16S ribosomal RNA". It matches the Rfam family "Bacterial small subunit ribosomal RNA", at positions 524 to 776 of the family's 1533-position model. The record is from RNAcentral.
CACGUAGGGGGCUAGCGUUGUCCGGAAUCAUUGGGCGUAAAGAGCGUGUAGGCGGUCCGGUAAGUCCGCUGUGAAAGUCGGGGGCUCAACCCUCGAAUGCCGGUGGAUACUGUCGGGCUAGAGUGCGGGAGAGGGAUGUGGAAUUCCAGGUGUAGCGGUGAAAUGCGUAGAUAUCUGAAGGAACAUCAGUGGCGAAAGCGACUUCCUGGACCAAUACUGACGCUCAUGUGCGAAAGCGUGGGGAGCAAACAGG